GUGAAGCCAGAACGUCAGAGCAAGGGAACUGCCAGACAAAGCAAAGAAAAUGAAGAUUUCUGUCUUGGGAAUUGAACCUUCAAUGUCUUAUUGUAUAAGGCCUGUGUGCACAGUCUGAGGAUCUGAUGAAAGCCAAACGACCAAAAUCCAGGAAGAGUGCUCAGUUCGUGGAUUUUCUCAUUUGCUUUCGUAGAUAUGAGAGAUUGUGUUGCUCAGGUGUUCAAGCUGGCACUGAGUGUAACCCCCAUGGUGGCAAGCUCCCCUGCUCCUUUCAGGUGUUUUGCUGGUGGGAUCAUCCAUGUUGCAGGAGACUCUCUGAGCCCCAGCAAGAGCACCUAGGACACAUGGAGUGGAAAGACCCUUUGAAGAACAGAGGAGCAGCUGGGCUACUGAGAGCUUUUGCCUGUCAAUGAAAUUAAGUUCUUGCCUUUUUCUUUAUACAGUUCCCAAAUACCUGUUUUCUAAACUGAUGUUUCCUCAAGUAAUAAAAAAUCCCACUGGAAAAUAAAAAGGUAAAAC
RNAcentral lists this long non-coding RNA (519 nucleotides) under Anas platyrhynchos platyrhynchos (common mallard). Its description in RNAcentral is "lncRNA (ENSAPLG00000020720.1)". The record is from RNAcentral. Lineage: Eukaryota; Metazoa; Chordata; Aves; Anseriformes; Anatidae.